RNAcentral lists this long non-coding RNA (3102 nucleotides) under Pan troglodytes (chimpanzee). RNAcentral's name for it is "long non-coding RNA NONPTRT017239". Lineage: Eukaryota; Metazoa; Chordata; Mammalia; Primates; Hominidae. The record is from RNAcentral.
UUAGCUGCUGCUUUGGGAAAUCUUGUGUCAGAUCUAGCUGGACUUGGACUUGCAGGCUAUGUUGAAGCAUUGGCUUCCAGGUUAGGCCUGUCAAUUCCUGAUCUCACACCAAAGCAAGUUGACAUGUGGCAAACACGUCUUAGUACACAUUUGGGCAAAGCUGUUGGGGUGACUAUUGGCUGCAUUCUAGGAAUGUUUCCUUUAAUUUUCUUUGGAGGAGGUGAAGAAGAUGAAAAACUGGAAACGAAAAGUUAAUCCUCUUAGAAUACCUAUAAAAAGAUGUAAACUAAUGUACCUCAGUAAUUAAAUAUGCUGUCACAACAUUUAGGAAUUAAGACAGUAACAGUAUAGAUAUGGGAUCAAAUAAUUUAGCAUGUAUUAUGGAAAACACUAACUUAUUGUGGCUUGAUCUUCUUAGGACAUCUUUUUUAAAAAGCUGUUUAGUAUCAUUUUGUGUAAAUUGUUGAAAUGCUUUUUCAUCAAUAGCAGUCAACAUUUUAUCCUUUCUUUUUAUAUUCAUAAUGUUAUUUAAGUGUCAUUGAUGUACUGUAUUGACUUGGGGUUUGCUUAUUUGUUACUUAACAUGUGUACAUGCAUGAAAGCAUUUUUCGUUGUUCCCUGAUAGUUACAUUUCAACCUUGGGAUUUUUCCGAAUUACUUAAGAUGUUUAAUGUCAGUUAAAGAUUUUUUUACCCUCUUUUUGGGAACAUCAAUUUUGUACUGUUAUGCAGUAAACAUUUAUAAUAAUAUAAUUUCAGUCAUUUUCUUAACUCUCACAUCUAUUGAAAAUGGAUAUAGAUACAGGUUUUAAGUAUUUUAAGUAUAUAUUACUUAUUUUAAUUUUCUGACUUUACUAUUUUAAGGGCCAGAGGGUUAAUCACAAAGAGCAAUUAUGUGGUCUCCCUGCUACAUGAAACCGUGUAUACUAACAAGCGUACAAUUUUUAGUUGAUUUUUUUUAACCUUUUAGUUUCCCAGUUUUGAAUAAUUACAUGGUGGAUUCUGACUUUUGAGGGGAAGCAAAUGAUUAUUUUAGAGUCUUUGAAAUGGGGAUUGUGGAAUUAGAUUGAACUAAGGGAUUUAACAUGAUGCUUGGAAAUUAAGAGACUAAAGCUUUUUUUAAAAAAAGGUAGAAAAUAGGAACUGUCAAGAAGGUUUAUGGUAUAAAUGAUGAAGUUGAAGUGAUGUUUGAAAGAUUAAUGAGAUACAAUUUAUAUUAUUUGGUAAGGUUUUUUUUUUCCCCCUCCAAAGAUGUCAUCUUCUCAUCUGAAUGGAAUAAGUCUGAAUACCCCAUAUUCAUACUCCUAAUCUCAUUAUAUCUUAUUUAGUGAAUUUUAUUUAUGAAUAAUUUCUGUUGAAGUGAAAACUAGAUAUUUAAUAUUUUGCUUUUUUGCUACAUAGUCUACUCAAAAAUUACAUGAGGAGAAAUCCUUUUUCCCUUUGUUUUUCUUUUUUCUUCUUUUGUGGUAUUUAAAGCAUAUUUUAGGUUGAAGUUACUUAUUUCUAGUCUUGUACUUCUGGCUUAAGUAUAACCAUGUAAGAAUUAUAAAUUUUAGUUUUCUGAACCCUUAAACUUUUUUAGCAUGUGGUCUGUUACACAUGCUAAAAAAUUAGUCUUACUUGUAACAGCGUAAUUAAACACAUCAUGGAGGAGAGAAACUUAAAAUUAAAAUAAUAUUUUGGCUUUUGAAGUUAUUUGUGUUGCUAAAUAGAUGCAGAGGUUUUACAGCAGUUUAUUUUAAGGUUUUAUUUAUACAUAAUUACUUUGAACUCUUCAGAGUAGAUAUUUUUUCACAAGGCAGUUUGUCAUAAAUUCUCUCAUGCGCUUCAGAAUGAAUAAGUGCCAUCGUUUAAUCAUAGACUUUGAGGAGAGAAAGCAUAAAAAUAUAGCAUAUAAUCUAAAAAUAAAUAUAUAACAUGCACAAAUAAUGUGACAUUCUUACUGAAUCAAAUCAUGAUUCUAGAACUUGAGAUCUUAAAUAGAAUUUCGGUUUGUAUCUUCCAUAUAAUAACCACACACAGAUAACCACACAAAAAAUCCUUUGUAAAAUUUCUGAUUGAUAGGAUUAGAGUGCUAAAUUUUUUGGGGGGGAAGGGUGGGGUAAAGUGUAAGUGCUUUCUUUUGUCCCUAACUUGUGUAUUGAUGGCAGUCCAUUCUGUUUUCUAAAAAUGUAUUUUACUGUGGUGCUUAACUUCUUAUUAAUUAAAUCCCGUAUCAGAAACCUUGCCUGUGACUUUAGAAAGGGCUUUUGAUUAUUGUUUUUUCUUCUUGCUCUUGAAAGUAAUCCAGUCCCAGGGAAUUACUGGUUUAACUGAACAUCUCCAGAAUUAUUUAAGGUGUCAAAAUAUAUAACCUUCACAUUGAAAGAUAAUUUUAAUUUAUGGGCAUAAUAAAAAUUUGAAUCAUUCAGGUAAUUUUCAAAAAAUGGAGACCAUUUGUCUUUAACUGAAGGUAUAUGUUUAAGAUCAUAGUCUACCCUAGUAUGGUGCUUUGCACAAAAUGAUUUCUGAAGAAUGGUUCUUUUUAAGAUAAUGACUUCAUAUGAUCAUUGUUUCAUGUUACUACUUGCCACAAAUAACUUUAAUUUAGGUUGAAACUGGAACUGUUUGUUUCUCAUAUUAGCUACUUCUCUAUUAGGAGCACAAGAACCAUAGUUAAAUGCAACAUGAGCUACUUUAGUACUGUUUGUUUAAAUUUGUGUUGUCCAUGUAUUAUGAUUUAUUAACUUGUUGAUGCAUGUAAAUUGGGUGCAUUUUGUUGCCAUGUAUGUUAAAUGGUGACCAAUGUUUUUACAAAGGAAUUGAACAAAAAAAGUAUCUUUUAAGAAAUUUGGAAUGUGGUUUUGAUUUUGAAAUUUGAUUUCUUACUAAUCUCAGAGAGCCUUGGUAUAUUCUGUUACUAAAGCAAACAGGAUUAAUGAAUACGGAUUUGUUACAAGGUGGCAGCAAUGUCACUGAGAUAGUGAAUGGAAUAAUUUACCACCUCCCUGGAAUCUGCACCUGAGAUACAACAUCAGCGUAUGAGUGAAGAGUGAGCCCAUAGAAAAGCUUUAGAUAGACUCACAUAAGUCACACUGAUGGGUAUUUACAGCAGAGAUAUCCA